GUAGGCCUACGGGGCGCAGCAGUGGGGAAUAUUGCACAAUGGGGGAAACCCUGAUGCAGCGACGCCGCGUGAAGGAAGAAGUAUUUCGGUAUGUAAAGUUCUAUCAGCAGGGAAGAAAAUGACGGUACCUGACUAAGAAGCCCCGGCUAACUACGUGCCAGCAGCCGCGGUAAUACGUAGGGGGCAAGCGUUAUCCGGAUUUACUGGGUGUAAAGGGAGCGUAGGCGGUUUAGCAAGUCAGAAGUGCAAGCCCGGGGCUCAACUCCGGGACUGCUUUUGAAACUGUUGCACUAGAUUGCAGACGA
This 305-nucleotide ribosomal RNA is filed under the name uncultured bacterium. RNAcentral describes it as "bacterial SSU rRNA". It matches the Rfam family "Bacterial small subunit ribosomal RNA", at positions 333 to 655 of the family's 1533-position model. The record is from RNAcentral.